This 967-nucleotide ribosomal RNA is filed under the name uncultured korarchaeote. RNAcentral describes it as "bacterial SSU rRNA". It matches the Rfam family "Archaeal small subunit ribosomal RNA", at positions 218 to 1182 of the family's 1478-position model. The record is from RNAcentral. Lineage: Archaea; Thermoproteati; Thermoproteota.
CGGCCUAUCAGGUAGUAGGUGGGGUAACGGCCCACCUAGCCUACGACGGGUACGGGCCCUGAGAGGGGGAGCCCGGAGAUGGGCACUGAGACAAGGGUCUAGGCCCUAAGGGGCGCAGCAGGCGCGAAGAUUCCGCAAUGCCCGAAAGGGCGACGGAGUGAACCCGAGUGCCACCCGCUGAGGGUGGCUGUUCCCCUGUGUAAAAAGCAGGGGGCAGGAAGGGGAGGGCAAGGCUGGUGGCAGCCGCCGCGGUAAAACCAGCUCCCCGAGGGGUUCCCACGCAUACUGGGCCUAAAGCGUCCGUAGCCGGCCCUAUAAGUCCGCAGUUAAAUCCGCCUGUAGACAGGCGGGCUGCUGCGGAUACUACAGGGCUAGGGAGCGGGAGGAGCCGGGGGUAUUCCCGGGGGAGCGGUAAAAUGCGUAGAUCCCGGGAGGACCACCAGUGGCGAAGGCGCCCGGCUUGAACGCGUCCGGCGGUGAGGGACGAAAGCUGGGGGAGCAAACCGGAUUAGAUACCCGGGUAGUCCCAGCCGUAAACGAUGCCGGCUAGGUGCUGGCCAAGGUUUCGACCUUGGCCAGUGUCGAAGCGAAGGCAUUAAGCCGGCCGCCUGAGGAGUACGGCCGCAAGGCUGAAACUUGAAGGAAUUGACGGGGGGGCACCACAAGGGGUGAAUGCCUGCGGCUUAAUUGGACUCAACGCCGGGAAUCUUACCGGGGGCGACAGCAGGAUGAAGGUCAGGCUGAAGACCUUACCAGACGCGCUGAGGGGUGGUGCAUGGCCGUCGCCAGCUCGUGCCGUGAGGUGUCCUGUUAAGUCAGGCAACGAGCGAGACCCCCGCCCCUAGUUGCCAGCGGCCUCCUUCGGGAGGGACCGGGCAAACUAGGGGGACCGCCCCCGAAGAGGAGGAGGAAGGCGGGGGCUACGGCAGGUCAGUAUGCCCCUAAUCCCCCGGGCCGCACGCGGGCU